CUGCAUGGCUGCGUCAGCUCGUGUCGUGAGAUGUUGGGUUAAGUCCCGUAACGAGCGCAACCCUUGUCCUUAGUUACCAGCAUGUUAUGGUGGGCACUCUAAGGAGACUGCCGGUGACAACCGGAGGAAGGUGGGGAUGACGUCAAGUCAUCAUGGCCCUUACGGCCUGGGCUACACACGUGCUACAAUGGUCGGUACAAAGGGUUGCCAAGCCGCGAGGUGGAGCUAAUCCCAUAAAACCGAUCGUAGUCCGGAUCGCAGUCUGCAACUCGACUGCGUGAAGUCGGAAUCGCUAGUAAUCGUGAAUCAGAAUGUCACGGUGAAUACGUUCCCGGGCCUA
This 340-nucleotide ribosomal RNA is filed under the name uncultured Pseudomonas sp. Its description in RNAcentral is "bacterial SSU rRNA". It matches the Rfam family "Bacterial small subunit ribosomal RNA", at positions 1041 to 1381 of the family's 1533-position model. Lineage: Bacteria; Pseudomonadati; Pseudomonadota; Gammaproteobacteria; Pseudomonadales; Pseudomonadaceae. The record is from RNAcentral.